AGGAAAGUCCGUCCACCAGUAAAGAGAAUUAACCUCUCUCUACAACAUGACCGCUUCCCUAGGAAGGAGGAGAAAUCCCUCGGCUCUGGCUCAGAAACGACAUGUCCAUAACUAAGGAUGAUAUUGGCGAAGCUUCUUGUGAAAGAAGUCAGUUAACCCUUUGACAUUGGUUAUGGGAACAAUUAAACGGCGAAACCUGGUCGGUGCAAGUACAUUUAUGUACGCUUAGUAGAAUGCUCUAAACGACUAUCGGCAUUUCUUAGAAAUGUUUUGGGUCUUACAAAAGACGGCUUACGCCACUCUACU
Molecule: RNase P RNA, 306 nt
Filed under: Candidatus Woesearchaeota archaeon
Lineage: Archaea; Nanobdellati; Candidatus Woesearchaeota
Description: RNase P RNA component
Rfam family: Archaeal RNase P
About the family: Ribonuclease P (RNase P) is a ubiquitous endoribonuclease, found in archaea, bacteria and eukarya as well as chloroplasts and mitochondria. Its best characterised activity is the generation of mature 5'-ends of tRNAs by cleaving the 5'-leader elements of precursor-tRNAs.
Source: RNAcentral